GACGAACGCUGGCGGCGUGCCUAAUACAUGCCAGUAGAACGCUGAAGGAGGAGCUUGCUUCUCUGGAUGAGUUGCGAACGGGUGAGUAACGCGUAGGUAACCUUCCUGGUAGCGGGUGAUAACUAUUGGAAACGAUAGCUAAUACCUCAUAAGAGUAGAUGUUGCAUGACAUUUUCUUAAACGCUCCAUUUGCAUCACUACCAGAUGGACCUGCGUUGUAUUAGCUAUUUGGGGCGGUAACGGCUCACCAAGGCGACGAUACAUAGCCGACCUGAGAGGGUGAUAGGCCACACUGGGACUGAGAAACGGCCCAGAAUCCUACGGGAGGGAGCAGGAGGGAAUCAUCGGAAAAGGACGGAAGUCUGACCGAGGAAAGCCGCGUGAGUGAAGAAGGUUUUCGGAUCGUAAAGGUCUGUUGUAAGAGAAGAAAGAGUGUGAGGGUGGAAAGUUCACACUGUGACGGUAUCUUACCAGAAAGGGACGGCUAACUACGUG
This 495-nucleotide ribosomal RNA is filed under the name uncultured bacterium. Its description in RNAcentral is "partial 16S ribosomal RNA". It matches the Rfam family "Bacterial small subunit ribosomal RNA", at positions 28 to 507 of the family's 1533-position model. The record is from RNAcentral.